GCUCCAGCAGCUCAACGGCAGAGCAGCCGCCUCUAAAGCGGACGGUAGCGGGUUCGACUCCCGCCUGGAGCACCA
This 75-nucleotide transfer RNA is filed under the name Catellatospora sp. TT07R-123. Its description in RNAcentral is "tRNA-Pyl". It matches the Rfam family "tRNA". Rfam says of the family: Transfer RNA (tRNA) molecules are approximately 80 nucleotides in length. Their secondary structure includes four short double-helical elements and three loops (D, anti-codon, and T loops). Further hydrogen bonds mediate the characteristic L-shaped molecular structure. tRNAs have two regions of fundamental functional importance: the anti-codon, which is responsible for specific mRNA codon recognition, and the 3' end, to which the tRNAs corresponding amino acid is attached (by aminoacyl-tRNA synthetases). tRNAs cope with the degeneracy of the genetic code in two manners: having more than one tRNA (with a specific anti-codon) for a particular amino acid; and 'wobble' base-pairing, i.e. permitting non-standard base-pairing at the 3rd anti-codon position. Lineage: Bacteria; Bacillati; Actinomycetota; Actinomycetes; Micromonosporales; Micromonosporaceae. The record is from RNAcentral.